This is a small nuclear RNA of 195 nucleotides. Its record names the gene U2. It matches the Rfam family "U2 spliceosomal RNA". Rfam says of the family: U2 is a small nuclear RNA (snRNA) component of the spliceosome (involved in pre-mRNA splicing). Complementary binding between U2 snRNA (in an area lying towards the 5' end but 3' to hairpin I) and the branchpoint sequence (BPS) of the intron results the bulging out of an unpaired adenosine, on the BPS, which initiates a nucleophilic attack at the intronic 5' splice site, thus starting the first of two transesterification reactions that mediate splicing. The record is from Ensembl.
AUCGCUUCUCGGCCUUUUGGCUAAGAUCAAGUGUAGAAAAAUACUGCUAUAAAUAUAACCAUAAAGUAUAUACUCCUUUGGAUGUGAUUUAUUUUACUUAACUGUAUGCCUAUGUGAUUCCUCCGUGCAUUUGUGUAAAUCAGUUAUUUAUUUCUGGGUGAUGUUCACCUGUAUCAUACCCCAAAGUGACUUAAU